This is a transfer RNA of Paenibacillus wynnii, 76 nucleotides long. It matches the Rfam family "tRNA". Rfam says of the family: Transfer RNA (tRNA) molecules are approximately 80 nucleotides in length. Their secondary structure includes four short double-helical elements and three loops (D, anti-codon, and T loops). Further hydrogen bonds mediate the characteristic L-shaped molecular structure. tRNAs have two regions of fundamental functional importance: the anti-codon, which is responsible for specific mRNA codon recognition, and the 3' end, to which the tRNAs corresponding amino acid is attached (by aminoacyl-tRNA synthetases). tRNAs cope with the degeneracy of the genetic code in two manners: having more than one tRNA (with a specific anti-codon) for a particular amino acid; and 'wobble' base-pairing, i.e. permitting non-standard base-pairing at the 3rd anti-codon position. The record is from Rfam. Lineage: Bacteria; Bacillati; Bacillota; Bacilli; Caryophanales; Paenibacillaceae.
ACGGAUGUGGAGAAGUUUGGCCGUUCUCGCCUGUCUUGGACACAGGAGAUCACAGGUUCAAAUCCUGUCAUUCGUA